This 506-nucleotide non-coding RNA is filed under the name Bacillus sp. FJAT-26390. RNAcentral describes it as "Bacterial small subunit ribosomal RNA". It matches the Rfam family "Bacterial small subunit ribosomal RNA", at positions 1030 to 1533 of the family's 1533-position model. Lineage: Bacteria; Bacillati; Bacillota; Bacilli; Caryophanales; Bacillaceae. The record is from Rfam by way of RNAcentral.
GGAGACAGGUGGUGCAUGGUUGUCGUCAGCUCGUGUCGUGAGAUGUUGGGUUAAGUCCCGCAACGAGCGCAACCCUUGAUCUUAGUUGCCAGCACUUUGGGUGGGCACUCUAGGAUGACUGCCGGUGACAAACCGGAGGAAGGUGGGGAUGACGUCAAAUCAUCAUGCCCCUUAUGACCUGGGCUACACACGUACUACAAUGGCCGAUACAACGGGAAGCGAAACCGCGAGGUGGAGCCAAUCCUAUCAAAGUCGGUCUCAGUUCGGAUUGCAGGCUGCAACUCGCCUGCAUGAAGUCGGAAUUGCUAGUAAUCGCGGAUCAGCAUGCCGCGGUGAAUACGUUCCCGGGUCUUGUACACACCGCCCGUCACACCACGAGAGUUUACAACACCCGAAGCCGGUGGGGUAACCCGCAAGGGAGCUAGCCGUCGAAGGUGGGGUAGAUGAUUGGGGUGAAGUCGUAACAAGGUAGCCGUAUCGGAAGGUGCGGCUGGAUCACCUCCUUU